CACUCCUACGGGAGGCAGCAGUGGGGAAUUUUGGACAAUGGGCGAAAGCCUGAUCCAGCAAUGCCGCGUGAGUGAAGAAGGCCUUCGGGUUGUAAAGCUCUUUUGUCAGGGAAGAAACGGUGAGAGCUAAUAUCUUUUGCUAAUGACGGUACCUGAAGAAUAAGCACCGGCUAACUACGUGCCAGCAGCCGCGGUAAUACGUAGGGUGCAAGCGUUAAUCGGAAUUACUGGGCGUAAAGCGUGCGCAGGCGGUUUUGUAAGUCUGAUGUGAAAUCCCCAGGCUCAACCUGGGAAUUGCAUUGGAGACUGCAAGGCUAGAAUCUGGCAGAGGGGGGUAGAAUUCCACGUGUAGCAGUGAAAUGCGUAGAUAUGUGGAGGAACACCGAUGGCGAAGGCAGCCCCCUGGGUCAAGAUUGACGCUCAUGCACGAAAGCGUGGGGAGCAAACAGGAUUAGAUACCCUGGUAGUCCCAUG
RNAcentral lists this ribosomal RNA (474 nucleotides) under uncultured organism. RNAcentral describes it as "partial 16S ribosomal RNA". It matches the Rfam family "Bacterial small subunit ribosomal RNA", at positions 334 to 799 of the family's 1533-position model. The record is from RNAcentral.